AUACGGAGGGUGCAAGCGUUGUUCGGAAUUACUGGGCGUAAAGCGCGCGUAGGCGGCUUUGUAAGUCGGAUGUGAAAGCCCCGGGCUUAACCUGGGAAUGGCAUUCGAUACUGCAGAGCUAGAGUAUGGUAGAGGGAAGUGGAAUUUCCGGUGUAGCGGUGAAAUGCGUAGAUAUCGGAAGGAACACCAGUGGCGAAGGCGACUUCCUGGGCCAAUACUGACGCUGAGGUGCGAAAGCGUGGGGAGCAAACAGGAUUAGAUACCCCGGUAGUCC
RNAcentral lists this ribosomal RNA (274 nucleotides) under uncultured bacterium. RNAcentral's name for it is "partial 16S ribosomal RNA". It matches the Rfam family "Bacterial small subunit ribosomal RNA", at positions 523 to 796 of the family's 1533-position model. The record is from RNAcentral.